RNAcentral lists this ribosomal RNA (1012 nucleotides) under marine metagenome. RNAcentral describes it as "bacterial LSU rRNA". It matches the Rfam family "Bacterial large subunit ribosomal RNA", at positions 1164 to 2292 of the family's 2925-position model. The record is from RNAcentral.
CCGAAGAUGUAUCGGGGCUAAAGCCAUGCACCGAAGCUGCGGAUGUGAUUUAUUUCACAUGGUAGCGGAGCGUUCCGUAAGCCAGUGAAGGGUUACCGCGAGGUAGCCUGGAGGUAUCGGAAGUGAGAAUGCUGACACGAGUAGCGAUAAACAGUGUGAGAGACACUGUCGCCGAAAAUCCAAGGGUUCCUGCGUAAAGCUAAUCUGCGCAGGGUGAGCCGGCCCCUAAGGCGAGGGCGAAAGCCGUAGUCGAUGGGAACCAGGUUAAUAUUCCUGGGCCUGCUGGAAGUGACGAAUACCGUAUAUUGUAAGAACUAAUUGGAUUGAUCUUGCAGUGAAGGUGUUCCAGGAAAUAACUCCAGCUUAUAGACCGUACUCUAAACCGACACAGGUGGAUUGGUAGAGAAUACCUAGGCGCUUGAGAGAACGAUGUUGAAGGAACUCGGCAAAAUGCCCCCGUAACUUCGGGAGAAGGGGGACCCUUUCUUGGGCAACCAGGAGGGGGUGGCACAGAAUAGGGGGUGGCGACUGUUUACUAAAAACACAGGACUCUGCAAACUCGUAAGAGGACGUAUAGGGUCUGACGCCUGCCCGGUGCCGGAAGGUUAAGAGGAGGAGUGCAAGCUCUGAAUUGAAGCCCCGGUAAACGGCGGCCGUAACUAUAACGGUCCUAAGGUAGCGAAAUUCCUUGUCGGGUAAGUUCCGACCCGCACGAAUGGCGCAACGACUUCCCCACUGUCUCCAACAUCGACUCAGCGAAACUGAAUUCUCCGUGAAGAUGCGGAGUACGCGUGGUCAGACGGAAAGACCCCGUGCACCUUUACUACAACUUUACAGUGGUAUUAGAUGUUGAACGUGUAGGAUAGGCGGGAGCCUUUGAAGUGUCAGCGCCAGUUGGCAUGGAGGCAACCUUGAAAUACCGCCCUUUUUACUUCUGAUAUCUAACCGAGAUCCGUUAUCCGGAUCCGGGACCCUGUAUGGUGGGUAGUUUGACUGGGGCGGUCGCCUCCUA